UCAACUUCUUUGUUAAGAGGCUGAGCACAAGGGCCAAGCUGGGAAAUUAAAGAUUAAGUUCAUUAAGGGAGGAGCUGAUAUUAUGAAUUAUGACAAAAAGGGAUGGUUAGCUGAAGAAAGAUGUGAAGAAAGGGGCAAAGAAUGAGAUUCUGCAAGACUGUUUCCAAACUAGGGCAUAGUACAUGAGAAUGCUUAAAGCCGAAGGUGGGGAAAAGAGAUGACGGGAGCAGUAAAAUAUCUGAGAAGAGCACAGAGACAGAGAGGGAAGAGAAGGUGAAAGUUUUCCCUUUCUUGUAGCUGAGAAGAAGUUUUCUAUGGGAAAGAAAACAAGAGAAAGAAGAAAAGUUGUAAUUGAGAACUUCAGAAUUCCCUGCAGAACAGUGGAUGGCCUGUCACAUUCAAGAACAGGAAUUCUUCCUGUUUUUUCUUGGAACUGCUCUCAGG
Pelodiscus sinensis (Chinese soft-shelled turtle) is the source of this 444-nucleotide non-coding RNA. The record is from RefSeq and is a predicted model, not a curated record. Lineage: Eukaryota; Metazoa; Chordata; Testudines; Trionychidae.